Molecule: ribosomal RNA, 256 nt
Filed under: uncultured bacterium
Lineage: Bacteria
Description: partial 16S ribosomal RNA
Rfam family: Bacterial small subunit ribosomal RNA
Source: RNAcentral
CAAUAUAAGUGAUGGCGACCGGCGCACGGGUGAGUAACACGUAUCCAACCUGCCGAUAACUCGGGGAUAGCCUUUCGAAAGAAAGAUUAAUACCCGAUGGUAUAAUAAAACCGCAUGGUUUAAUUACCAAAGAAUUUCGGUUAUCGAUGGGGAUGCGUUCCAUUAGGCAGUUGGUGAGGUAACGGCUCACCAAACCUUCGAUGGAUAGGGGUUCUGAGAGGAAGGUCCCCCACAUUGGAACUGAGACACGGUCCAA